RNAcentral lists this transfer RNA (65 nucleotides) under Zeugodacus triangularis. RNAcentral describes it as "tRNA-Gly". Lineage: Eukaryota; Metazoa; Arthropoda; Insecta; Diptera; Tephritidae. The record is from RNAcentral.
AUCUGUAUAGUAUAUAAGUAUAUUUGACUUCCAAUCAUAAGGACUACUAAUCAGUAGUACAGAUA